Molecule: ribosomal RNA, 277 nt
Filed under: uncultured prokaryote
Description: partial 16S ribosomal RNA
Rfam family: Bacterial small subunit ribosomal RNA
Source: RNAcentral
CACGUAGGAGGCAAACGUUAUCUGGAUUUACUGGGCGUAAAGCGCAUGUAGGUGGUUCUGUAAGUAGGGCGUGAAAGCUCCCGGCUCAACUGGGAGAGGCCGUUCUAAACUACAGAGCUAGAGGAUGGUAGAGGGAGGUGGAAUUCCGGGUGUAGCGGUGGAAUGCGCAGAUAUCCGGAGGAACACCAGUGGCGAAAGCGGCCUCCUGGUCCAUUCCUGACACUCAGAUGCGAAAGCUAGGGUAGCAAACGGGAUUAGAUACCCGGGUAGUCCCUGA